This is a long non-coding RNA of Hermetia illucens (black soldier fly), 330 nucleotides long. RefSeq lists it as uncharacterized. The transcript has 3 exons. Lineage: Eukaryota; Metazoa; Arthropoda; Insecta; Diptera; Stratiomyidae. The record is from RefSeq and is a predicted model, not a curated record.
AAGCACAUGCGUCAAAAUUCAAAAUACUCUUUCAAGUUGGUAGCAUUUAUCUUUUCAGCGACGUAAAUUCGGUCUUUCAUUAUACGUCCGUCUCGAGAAGUAGGUGUCCAUUGGGAUCCUCCUUUUUGAACCCAUCUUGAAAACAUGAGAGCUAAGUGGAGGAAGAAGCGUAUGCGAAGGUUGAAGCGUAAACGCAGAAAGAUGCGUGCAAGGUCCAAGUAAAUUGUACCAGGUUUUCACGGGUACGGAUUUCUUAAUAUCUCUCCAGAGAAUGUAAUCAAUCGAAUCAAAAUUUGCUCGUUUGAAUAAAUUACUUUUCAUGGAGUAAAA